UUCUCUUUCAUAUUUGGACACCACAGUUUAUUGACUUUCUUAUUUUAACACUGAAACUUCUAUUUCUCAGAGGAAGCACAAAUCGUCUUAUAUUUUCUCAUCCUUAUCUUUUGUUCCUCAAACCCGGUUGCCGCCCUUCUCCUCCAAUACUGUUCAUUUGCGUUCUUAUUAAUUUUUUUUUCCGUUCUUCUAACCCUAGAACCAACCAGCGGAGGUACCUUGUCUUCUUUUCAUCCGGUAGACCGUUGGGACAGAAGGUAGUCACGAGCAGCAACAACAGCAGGCAAAUGGCGGCAAUAAGUGGCGUUGAGUGGAAGUGGGUGGCUCCGCUGCUCCCUUCCUUGCAUCCGUCUGUCAAGAAUGGUAAAUCCAGAUGAGGUUGAAAUUUCACGUGGUGGAAUUUUGGAAGUCAUCACCACUCUAUAUGCUAAAAUUUCACCGUUCUUUGAAAAAGAAACCCCUGAAGCGUCCGCGAAUAACCAUGAAGACCAACAAGUCGUCGGUUUCUUCCAAUUUUGUUGUCUUUGGAGUUUAGUUAUUUGCUUUGAAAUUGGUUUAACAAAUUUGAAGAAAUUUGUUUUGGGUUAUCUUUAAUUAACUCUAUCUAUUGGAUUUCCAUCUGAAAUUGGUACUAAGAUUAAAUUGUUUGUUUGUAUUGAUUCUCAUGAUUUCAAUUUUUUUUUGGUUCUUCAAUGAUACAGAGGUUAGCUGAUAUGAAAAUGUUAGCAUAUAUUUUUUUUGGGUUAUCUUUAAUUAGGUGUGUCAAUUGGAUUUCCAUAUGAAAUUGGUACUAAGAUUAAAUUGUUUAUUUGUAUUGAUUCUCAUGAUUUCAAUUUUUUUUUUUGUUCUUCAAGGAUACAGGAUACAGAGGUUAGCUGAUAUGAAAAGGUUAGCAUAUAUGAAUCAAACGGUAAAACUUGCAAAAAUUGGAUUGUUUAUUUCUCUUUUAAAUAAUUUGCAAAAAUAGCUCAUUGUUAUACUGUGGAGUCCAUUCAGAUCAUUGUCUGUUGAAUUGGAGGCUUUUAUACUUAUAAAGCUUUUCGUCUCAAAUAGAAUUCGCUAUUUAGAAAAUGUAGCAGCAAAACAGCUCCAGUGAGAUUUUUUUUUUAGUUUUUUCGGAUAAGAAAGUAAAAAUAAAAUUCCAUUGUAUCAUUUCAUCAAACACUUGGCUUUUAAUUUUUUUUAUAGCAGCCUAACAAUGGGAAGAAAGAUUACAAGUUUGGGUUUAGGUUCAUUGUACAUUCUUAUAAUUAUAUAUUAAAAAUGAUUUUUAAUUUUUUUUAUUGAUUUAUUUAUGUAUUUUAGAUGCUUAAUUAUUUGUCGAUUUCUAUGGAUGAUGAUACUUCGUAGGCUUUAAUACUGGCUGCACUCUCUGAUUCGGUGACCUUCCUACUUCAUUUGUGUUGUAGAUGUGAAAAAUUACUGAUUUACCCUUUUCACAUCUGGAUAUGAACCCCUGGAUGUUGGGACAAGACUUCAUGCUAUAGAAGGAUCAUCUUGCUAAGAAAUCAAGGAUGAGAUUUCUCUCUUUCGCGACAUGAUUUUUUGCUUCUCAAGUUAAAACAUCUUUGAAAAAAAAAUAUAAUUGUUUGUGCUUAUCUCUUUUGAUUCUCAAGUUUUUGUUUUCCUAAACGAAUCCGGUGUUAGAGCUUAAAAUAAGGAAAAAAAAAUGAACACAGCGCCAACGGCGCGCAUGAUUCCCCUCUAGUUUAUAUGUAAAGACUAAAAACAAUUAUUUUCAAUAGAUAAAUUAAAUAUC
Molecule: long non-coding RNA, 1759 nt
Organism: Lactuca sativa (garden lettuce)
Lineage: Eukaryota; Viridiplantae; Streptophyta; Magnoliopsida; Asterales; Asteraceae
Source: RefSeq, a predicted model, not a curated record